Non-coding RNA from Araneus ventricosus, 74 nucleotides. The record is from the annotation of a GenBank genome assembly. NCBI's taxonomy places the organism in Eukaryota, Metazoa, Arthropoda, Arachnida, Araneae, Araneidae.
GCCUCAGAGCCGCAGUCGGAUAGCGCCUUCGGCUGUUAACCGAAAGGUUGGUGGUUCGAGCCCAUCCGGGGGCG